AACGCUGGCGUCAGGCUUAAGGGAAAAAGUCGAACGGGUGUAGCAAUACACCAGUGGCAGACGGGUUCGCACACGUGGGAACCUGCCCAGAGGUUCGGAAUAGCUGCGGGAAACUGCAGGUAAUACCGGAUGUUGCCUGAGGGCUAAAGGAGCAAUCCGCCUUCGGAGGGGCCCGCGUCCGAUUAGCUAGUUGGUGAGGUAACGGCUCACCAAGGCGACGAUCGGUAGCUGGUCUGAGAGGAUGAUCAGCCACACUGGGACUGAGAUACGGCCCAGACUCCUACGGGAGGCAGCAGUGGG
Molecule: ribosomal RNA, 300 nt
Filed under: uncultured bacterium
Lineage: Bacteria
Description: bacterial SSU rRNA
Rfam family: Bacterial small subunit ribosomal RNA
Source: RNAcentral